This is a long non-coding RNA of Triticum dicoccoides, 924 nucleotides long. RefSeq lists it as uncharacterized. Lineage: Eukaryota; Viridiplantae; Streptophyta; Magnoliopsida; Poales; Poaceae. The transcript is spliced from 4 exons. The record is from RefSeq and is a predicted model, not a curated record.
GAGUGCGGUACGCGGCCACGCGCUGCCGCUGCGAGAUGCAGCUGGUGCCGCUGCACGGGUCGCGCGAGGGCACCCAGGGCACGAGCAACGAUGGCACAGGCGCCGGCAGACAAGUUGGGACGGAGCGGCCGGUUGAGUACACAGCGCGGCGGACAUCGAAAAUUGAGCAUGGUUGUCCGUUUUUCUGCAUAAACGGGCAAAAUCCGAAUAAAACGGAGGUCUGUUUGAAAGUAUUUUUUGGAAUGUUUAGGAGUUGCAGAGAAAGAGUCGCGUGGGGAUGAUGUCGGGUGGAAGGACGUCCACGUCGAUGGGUCUGCCUGAAUCGCCGGUCAUCUGCUCUUUUUUUAGCCCUAGGCUAUCUAUCCCAGGACGUCUUCAUUAAACAACGAACGAUUACUGGUAAUCGACGUCGCAAUCAGAGCAUAAAGAAACAAGGCACGUUGGGUCCGAGUUUCUUCCAACAAACUCAUCUUUCCUGUUAAGAUUUAUCACGAUAUAAGCACGCGGAAUCUUGAUGAUUUCGCAGCUCAUGCCGAGAUGAUACGAGAUGGAGGUGCCUUCACAUCAACUCGAUCGCUUGUUGGGAAUAUGUUGCUGGCUGAAAGGGACUGAUGGAUGGACGCAUCUUUCUCUCGCUUGGACCUUUUCUCGUGGAUUCCUACCCUUCCCACCGUGAACAUGCAAAAUCUCGUCUAGAUUUCCGACGAUAUUUGUUCAGUGUGCGAAGACGUACCCAUUGGUGAGGGUGUUGGUCCUUACGGGCACGUGCACGAAGACUUACCGACUGUCAUUGAUAAGGUCAAGCCGGUUCCGAUAGGGGAGCGGCGACAACGACGCGUCGGUGACUCGUUCUGGCGGCAGUAGUGGUCGUUUGAUGGUCUCGAGAUAUUAAUGUAAAUUUUACUAUGUUUGAGAUGCUUUGUA